Long non-coding RNA from Brassica rapa (field mustard), 444 nucleotides. RefSeq lists it as uncharacterized. The record is from RefSeq and is a predicted model, not a curated record. NCBI's taxonomy places the organism in Eukaryota, Viridiplantae, Streptophyta, Magnoliopsida, Brassicales, Brassicaceae.
CCUAAACCAAUUUCACACAAAAAAAAACGGUUACGACUAAUUCAAUAUAUUUAAACGGCAAGAUGAGUAGGCACUAUUAAAUGUCUGGAUGAGACAACAGACACAGAAGUUGAUCAUAUACAGAUUCAUUACGCAAAAUCAAUUCCAAAACCUAAGUGUCACAACUAAUCUAAGAUGCCCAAUGAUCUUCCCAUAGAGAAAAUAAACAAAUAUUUAUAUCUUCAUGGCAUUUUACCAUCAGUUAACUACAUGAACUAUCCACUCACAAGACUAAUUAGAAACCUAUCUAGUACAGCUUAGACAUAGACAACAAAACAAGAGGAGAGAGAGAGAUACACAAACCUGGUUAGCAACAGCCUUGGACAUCCUGGGGAAUUCCUUCUUGAGGAUAGACUUGUUGACAGAGACCUUAGGCUUGUUCUGCUUCUUGGUCUUGGUGGUGGC